Molecule: ribosomal RNA, 1238 nt
Filed under: Rothia sp. (in: high G+C Gram-positive bacteria)
Lineage: Bacteria; Bacillati; Actinomycetota; Actinomycetes; Micrococcales; Micrococcaceae
Description: bacterial SSU rRNA
Rfam family: Bacterial small subunit ribosomal RNA
Source: RNAcentral
AAGCCUGGGAAACUGGGUCUAAUACCGGAUAUGACAAGGAACCGCAUGGUUUUUUGUGGAAAGGGUUUGUACUGGUUUUAGAUGGGCUCACGGCCUAUCAGCUUGUUGGUGAGGUAAUGGCUCACCAAGGCGACGACGGGUAGCCGGCCUGAGAGGGUGACCGGUCACACUGGGACUGAGACACGGCCCAGACUCCUACGGGAGGCAGCAGUGGGGAAUAUUGCACAAUGGGCGCAAGCCUGAUGCAGCGACGCCGCGUGAGGGAUGACGGCCUUCGGGUUGUAAACCUCUUUCAGCAGGGAAGAAGCGAAAGUGACGGUACCUGCAGAAGAAGCGCCGGCUAACUACGUGCCAGCAGCCGCGGUAAUACGUAGGGCGCGAGCGUUGUCCGGAAUUAUUGGGCGUAAAGAGCUUGUAGGCGGUUUGUUGCGUCUGCUGUGAAAGACCGGGGCUUAACCCCGGUAUUGCAGUGGGUACGGGCAGACUAGAGUGCAGUAGGGGAGACUGGAAUUCCUGGUGUAGCGGUGAAAUGCGCAGAUAUCAGGAGGAACACCGAUGGCGAAGGCAGGUCUCUGGGCUGUAACUGACGCUGAGAAGCGAAAGCAUGGGGAGCGAACAGGAUUAGAUACCCUGGUAGUCCAUGCCGUAAACGUUGGGCAGCUAGGUGUGGGGGACAUUCCACGUUUUCCGCGCCGUAGCUAACGCAUUAAGUGCCCCGCCUGGGGAGUACGGCCGCAAGGCUAAAACUCAAAGGAAUUGACGGGGGCCCGCACAAGCGGCGGAGCAUGCGGAUUAAUUCGAUGCAACGCGAAGAACCUUACCAAGGCUUGACAUAUACUGGAUCGCCUCAGAGAUGGGGUUUCCCUUCGGGGCUGGUAUACAGGUGGUGCAUGGUUGUCGUCAGCUCGUGUCGUGAGAUGUUGGGUUAAGUCCCGCAACGAGCGCAACCCUCGUUCUAUGUUGCCAGCACGUUAUGGUGGGGACUCAUAGGAGACUGCCGGGGUCAACUCGGAGGAAGGUGGGGAUGACGUCAAAUCAUCAUGCCCCUUAUGUCUUGGGCUUCACGCAUGCUACAAUGGCCGGUACAAAGGGUUGCGAUACUGUGAGGUUGAGCUAAUCCCAAAAAGCCGGUCUCAGUUCGGAUUGGGGUCUGCAACUCGACCCCAUGAAGUCGGAGUCGCUAGUAAUCGCAGAUCAGCAACGCUGCGGUGAAUACGUUCCCGGGCCUUGUACACACC